UGCCCGAAAGGGUGACGAAGCGACGCCGCGUGGGUGAGGAAGGCCUUCGGGUUGUAAAGCCCUGUCAGGAGUUAAGAAAUGUAGACUCGCUAAUAUCGGGUCUAUUUGACAAAGGCUCCAAAGGAAGCCACGGCUAACUCUGUGCCAGCAGCCGCGGUAAUACAGAGGUGGCAAGCGUUGUUCGGAAUUAUUGGGCGUAAAGAGCACGUAGGUGGAUUUGUAAGUCAGACGUGAAAGCCUUCUGUUCAACGGAAGAAUUGCAUCUGAAACUACAAACCUUGAGUGUAGGAGGGGAGAAUGGAACUUCUGGUGGAGCGGUGAAAUGCGUAGAUAUCAGAAGGAACGCCGGCGGCGAAAGCGAUUCUCUGGCCUAUUACUGACACUCAGUGUGCGAAAGCUAGGGGAGCAAACGGGGUUAGAUACCCCGGUAGUCCUAGCCGUAAACGAUGGGCACUAAGUAGAGGGGU
Molecule: ribosomal RNA, 467 nt
Filed under: uncultured Planctomycetota bacterium
Lineage: Bacteria; Pseudomonadati; Planctomycetota
Description: bacterial SSU rRNA
Rfam family: Bacterial small subunit ribosomal RNA
Source: RNAcentral